UCUACAGCCUUAUUACCCUGAAUGUGCCCGAUCUCAUCCGAUCUUGGAAGUUAAGCAGGGUCGGGCCUGGUUAGUACUUGGGUGGGAGAAAUAGAGGUUAUUGAUAGAG
This 109-nucleotide ribosomal RNA is filed under the name Microcebus murinus (gray mouse lemur). The record is from RNAcentral. Lineage: Eukaryota; Metazoa; Chordata; Mammalia; Primates; Cheirogaleidae.